RNAcentral lists this long non-coding RNA (289 nucleotides) under Fukomys damarensis (Damara mole-rat). RNAcentral describes it as "lncRNA (ENSFDAG00000032075.1)". Lineage: Eukaryota; Metazoa; Chordata; Mammalia; Rodentia; Bathyergidae. The record is from RNAcentral.
AUGAAAAAUUUAAUAGUGCUUUGGGUCUCAAAGUGCUUCUUCCUCCAACCUAGAGGAUUCAUAAUUCCCUCUGAAAAGACAGUAAAUUUAAUCUGCUUAGAGGAAUGCAUCUCUGAACACUCAAUCUUGCCAGGACUGAUUCCUGUGAUAUAAUGGAUCCAGUAUGACUAAGGAUUGCUCCAACCAGCACACUGAGCUCUGCAUUGCUCCAUGACCCCUAUACUCAAAAUUUCAAGAAGAAUGGGUUCUUGUGCUCAUAACAAAUAUAUGCUUUUGAAAAACUUGGCAA